UUGUCUAUGGUAUAACAAAUCAUAUAAACUAAUAAUGUAAUUUACAUUUAAUAAUUAGACAUAAUUUGUAUUGUUAAAGUAGGAAUUUAUUUUGAUGAAUUUUUUUAAAACCCAAUGUUUUUUUUUUUUUUGAGUAACGGUUCGUUUUGAUUCAUAAUAGGCUUAGAAGACCAAAAUAAAAGAACACAAAAUAUCUAAAGCAAAGCCUAUAAUGUUUCAACAGAACAGAAAAAGAAAACAAAACCCAACGUAAUCCAAAAACAACUUCCAGUCCCUUCGGUUACCAGCUAUUACAAAACGGCCAAGUCCUCCAAAAUCCGGGUUGAGUUUUACUUAUGGCGUGUGAAAAUUCUCAACCCGGAAUUUUAAAGAGCAGAAGAAAAGGCUAUGGUGGUCAAUCGAAACGUUGGUCAGAAUCUGCCAUUUCCAAAGCUGUUACUGGAGCGUCUUCAACCCAGAAAAAGUCUUCAAAUCUUUUCAACCCUUCGACUGCCAUUGCAUGCGCCGCAAAGUUCCCGUCUCUUGCAAUAAAUUCGAAUCUGCAUGAGGAAAAAUUCCUUGUUAGAGCCUUCGCAUCCCAGGUAAGGGGUUUAAUCUCCGAAUAAUCUUCUUUUGACAAUUGGAUAUUUUGAAUAACAGUUUAGUAGUGGCGAAUCUAGGGGGCUAGCAGGGCCCAGCCUCCCUAAAAUGUAAAAUUUCUAUUUAGGCCCUUGAGAUUUUUUAAAAAUUUUAAAUUAGUAAAGAUAAAAUUACACUUUGUCUCCCUUAAAAUUAUAAAAAUUCUAUUUAAUCUUUUAAAAUUUAUAAAGAUAUAGACUAUAAAAAAAAAAUUAAAAUUUCAUCCAACCCCCUAAAAAAUUAUUCUGGCUCCGCUCUUAUAGUUUAGAAUCAUUUUCUAGAAUAAUGUUCGAAAAGCCCAUCUUCGGCGCAAACUAUAGCCCAUGAAGAACCACUGUCGCUUCAGCUAACACCACCAAUCUAACCAGUUCUAAACCCUGAGCCCAUAAUGAGCCAUUCAUCAUUUCUUAUAAUAAAACCUGAUGCUGCAUGUUGUCUUGCUGCAGAAAAGCCUGUAUCAACAUUAAUUUUGACCCAAUUCGGAGGAGGGAGCACCCAUUUAUUCAAAUAUCUUAGUCUGGGAUGCUAUAAAAUUGACGAUAUCCACCGAAACUCCCUACCAAAGCCCCUGAUAAAGGUAACCACUCCUUCUAUGCUUUGCAUCUUUUGUUCAUGAACGAAUUUGUUGCGAGAAAACCAAAGUGCCCAAAUUGUAAUUGCAAUUUCAUCUUUCUUGUCACUGGCUGAAUUUUCAAAGAGCCAGUUUAACCAAUUAGUAAAACACAUAACUGCUACUGAAUUCGACCACAGAUAAUUUAAUUUGAACCAAACUUGCAAAGCAAACGUGCAAUCACGAACAACAUGGGUAGAAGAUUCACUACAACCCUAACAACGCGGACAUUUAUUAUCUGUCAUUAUUCUUCUAAAAUGUUAAUUCUGAAAUGUGGGAAUAUAAUUCUUCGCAAAUUUCCAUACUAAAAUGCGAUAUUUUUUAUGGACAUG
RNAcentral lists this long non-coding RNA (1560 nucleotides) under Gossypium raimondii (Peruvian cotton). RNAcentral describes it as "long non-coding RNA (GRAI_LNC008342)". Lineage: Eukaryota; Viridiplantae; Streptophyta; Magnoliopsida; Malvales; Malvaceae. The record is from RNAcentral.